GACAGAGGGGGCAAGCGUUGCUCGGAAUUACUGGGCGUAAAGAGCUCGUAGGCGGUUUGUCGCGUCUGCUGUGAAAACGCGAGGCUCAACCUCGCGCCUGCAGUGGGUACGGGCAGACUAGAGUGCGGUAGGGGAGAUUGGAAUUCCUGGUGUAGCGGUGGAAUGCGCAGAUAUCAGGAGGAACACCAAUGGCGAAGGCAGAUCUCUGGGCCGUAACUGACGCUGAGGAGCGAAAGCAUGGGGAGCGAACAGG
RNAcentral lists this ribosomal RNA (253 nucleotides) under uncultured bacterium. Its description in RNAcentral is "partial 16S ribosomal RNA". It matches the Rfam family "Bacterial small subunit ribosomal RNA", at positions 524 to 776 of the family's 1533-position model. The record is from RNAcentral.